CUCUGCUCUUGGGCUUGAGCAGACUCUGGCCAGCAGCGGUGUGACACCUUGCCGGCCUCCAUGUACAGCAGCAAUUUACUGAGCCCUCCACCAUAGCUCACUCGCGCAGGAAGUUUUAGCCCAGCACCCUGCCCCACGCUGGUGACCGACUAGGGCAUUGCCCGCAGGAUCAGUCCCGCCUUCUCCUGCUGGAAGGUGAUAAAGUGCCUGAGAGCCGCUGGAAGCUAUUCACCAAUAAAUUCAAAGGGAAAGGCCAUUUCUCGUGCCUUGGAAGGAGAGUUGAGGGAUGCUGGAAGGCAGAGAAGACCGAAACGGCGUGUCGCACAGCAGCGUGGCAGGAGGCACCGGAGCAAAGUUUCUGAGACUGGGGUGAACUGUGCAAGCAGCAUCGCAGGCUGAAUCCAUUGGGAAGGUGCACAUGGUUGAGCAUCGGCCUGCCCAGAGCACUGCAGCGCCUUUGUUUGCCUUGGUGGGUGUCUGUGGAGCUGGGUACGGAUUCAACCACCUGGCCUGGGAAGCAUAGGCAGGGCUGAGCAGCAGUGGCCCAAACGCCAGCCCUUGGGGUGCCACACCGACAGUGACUUCAGCUUUGACCUGUUGGUGCAGUGACUGGUCAGGGAGCAUCCCCUGAGGACCCACUAUUAAAAGCCACCUUUCCCUUCAACACUCAUCCCAGAGAACCUGGUGGAAACAUGUCUGGAGCCCUGAAAAGUCUGCCUUGGCUGUGACAGCUACUGAUCCCGUCCCCCACGUGUCCAAGGGAGAGCAGAUCAGCUUAAUUAAGCACUGGGGAAGCAAUAUGAUAUGCUUC
This is a long non-coding RNA of Chroicocephalus ridibundus (black-headed gull), 811 nucleotides long. RefSeq lists it as uncharacterized. The record is from RefSeq and is a predicted model, not a curated record. Lineage: Eukaryota; Metazoa; Chordata; Aves; Charadriiformes; Laridae. The transcript is spliced from 3 exons.